GGGGCUGUAACGGUUUCGACGUGCUGGCGAACGUUAUAUUGUGAUGCAGGUCGAGAGCGAGCUACCUCUCGGAAAUCAAUGGCUCAAAAAACAGUACAUGCGAACAACAUCGUACCCUUUGCUCGUAAGCAAGCACUAGUUGCUGCCUAAAAACCCCUAGCGGUUCGAGCGUCCGUCAUUUGACUCCGUUAAGGAUGAUGGACCAACCCCCCAACGGAUGCUCCAGUUCACCGUCUCUGGUUGGUAACUGGCUAAGACUUUACCAGAGAAUCCUAUCGUCCGGGAUAAGGGACGAUUCCCGCGUUGAGGAUCAGAAACGCUAAACCUGUGAAUGAGUGAUGUAUUAAUACCCAGGGCGGACACGGGUUCGACUCCCGUCAGCUCCAUUA
This 389-nucleotide transfer-messenger RNA is filed under the name Leptolyngbyaceae cyanobacterium CAN_BIN12. It matches the Rfam family "transfer-messenger RNA". Rfam says of the family: Bacterial tmRNA, also known as 10Sa RNA or SsrA, is named for its dual tRNA and mRNA-like properties. Its role is to liberate the mRNA from a stalled ribosome. The record is from RNAcentral. Lineage: Bacteria; Bacillati; Cyanobacteriota; Cyanophyceae; Leptolyngbyales; Leptolyngbyaceae.